UGGGGAAUAUUGCACAAUGGGGGAAACCCUGAUGCAGCGACGCCGCGUGAACGAAGAAGGAAUUCGUAUCGUAAAGUUCUGUCCUAUGGGAAGAUAAUGACAGUACCAUAGAAGAAAGCUCCGGCUAAAUACGUGCCAGCAGCCGCGGUAAUACGUAUGGAGCGAGCGUUGUCCGGAAUUAUUGGGCGUAAAGGGUACGCAGGCGGUUUAAUAAGUCGAAUGUUAAAGAUCGGGGCUCAACCCCGCAAAGCAUUGGAAACUGAUAAACUUGAGUAGUGGAGAGGAAAGUGGAAUUCCUAGUGUAGUGGUGAAAUACGUAGAUAUUAGGAGGAAUACCAGUAGCGAAGGCGACUUUCUGGACACAAACUGACGCUGAGGUACGAAAGCGUGGGGAGCAAACAGG
This 403-nucleotide ribosomal RNA is filed under the name bacterium. RNAcentral's name for it is "partial 16S ribosomal RNA". It matches the Rfam family "Bacterial small subunit ribosomal RNA", at positions 355 to 776 of the family's 1533-position model. The record is from RNAcentral.